RNAcentral lists this long non-coding RNA (454 nucleotides) under Pogona vitticeps (central bearded dragon). RNAcentral describes it as "lncRNA (ENSPVIG00000002794.1)". Lineage: Eukaryota; Metazoa; Chordata; Lepidosauria; Squamata; Agamidae. The record is from RNAcentral.
GUUUGGUGAUCCAGGGCGUGCAUUCCCUGUAUGAUUGGCUUGACUGCAAUGACAUCACAGAAGAGGUGGGCAACCUAGAAUGCAGGGAGCAGGGAAUGCACCUGCAGAUCUUACUAUGUGGAUCCCAAAGAGGGUCACAAACAGACUCACUAUGCCAAAUGCCCUCCUUCCAUACUGAGAAAAAGACCACCCUUCAACCAAGAUCUCAGCAAAACACGAAAAGCAGAGCGGCGAGUUCGGUUCCAGGAACCAGAAGAGAUCAUUAGACGUGGUAUGUUUGGGAUAUGACACUAAUGAUCCAGAAUACCUUCUGUCUGUCGCAUGCUGUCUCACAACCAAUCUUUUGGAGGGGGUUCUUCUCACAUUUCUUCCACCAGGUGUCCAUCUAUAUCCGAGUAACUUUUCCAAAGUUCUCAGAGUUAUGUAGCCAUCGGAGCCUUUCUAAAAAACCUUC